RNAcentral lists this ribosomal RNA (835 nucleotides) under Penicillium steckii. RNAcentral describes it as "LSU rRNA". It matches the Rfam family "Eukaryotic large subunit ribosomal RNA", at positions 61 to 914 of the family's 3401-position model. Lineage: Eukaryota; Fungi; Ascomycota; Eurotiomycetes; Eurotiales; Aspergillaceae. The record is from RNAcentral.
GAAACCAACCGGGAUUGCCCUAGUAACGGCGAGUGAAGCGGCAAGAGCUCAAAUUUGAAAGCUGGCUCCUUCGGGGUCCGCAUUGUAAUUUGCAGAGGAUGCUUCGGAAUCGGCCCCCAUCUAAGUGCCCUGGAACGGGCCGUCAUAGAGGGUGAGAAUCCCGUCUGGGAUGGGGUGUCCGUGCCCGUGUGAAGCUCCUUCGACGAGUCGAGUUGUUUGGGAAUGCAGCUCUAAUUGGGUGGUAAAUUUCAUCUAAAGCUAAAUAUUGGCCGGAGACCGAUAGCGCACAAGUAGAGUGAUCGAAAGAUGAAAAGCACUUUGAAAAGAGAGUUAAAAAGCACGUGAAAUUGUUGAAAGGGAAGCGCUUGCGACCAGACUCGCCCGCGGGGUUCAGCCGGCAUUCGUGCCGGUGUACUUCCCCGCGGGCGGGCCAGCGUCGGUUUGGGCGGCCGGUCAAAGGCCCCUGGAAUGUAACGCCUCUCGGGGCGUCUUAUAGCCAGGGGUGCCAUGCGGCCUGCCCGGACCGAGGAACGCGCUUCGGCUCGGACGCUGGCAUAAUGGUCGUAAGCGACCCGUCUUGAAACACGGACCAAGGAGUCUAACAUCUACGCGAGUGUUCGGGUGUCAAACCCGUGCGCGCAGUGAAAGCGAACGGAGGUGGGAACCCCCCGGGGUGCACCAUCGACCGAUCCUGAUGUCUUCGGAUGGAUUUGAGUAAGAGCGUAGCUGUUGGGACCCGAAAGAUGGUGAACUAUGCCUGAAUAGGGCGAAGCCAGAGGAAACUCUGGUGGAGGCUCGCAGCGGUUCUGACGUGCAAAUCGAUCGUCAAAUUUGG